UACGUAGGGUGCGAGCGUUAAUCGGAAUUACUGGGCGUAAAGCGUGCGCAGGCGGUUUUGUAAGACAGGUGUGAAAUCCCCGGGCUUAACCUGGGAACUGCGCUUGUGACUGCAAGACUCGAGUACGGCAGAGGGGGGUAGAAUUCCACGUGUAGCAGUGAAAUGCGUAGAGAUGUGGAGGAAUACCGAUGGCGAAGGCAGCCCCCCUGGGCUAACACUGACGCUCAUGCACGAAAGCGUGGGGAGCAAACAGG
Molecule: ribosomal RNA, 254 nt
Filed under: uncultured bacterium
Lineage: Bacteria
Description: partial 16S ribosomal RNA
Rfam family: Bacterial small subunit ribosomal RNA
Source: RNAcentral